GACGAACGCUGGCGGCGUGCUUAACACAUGCAAGUCGAACGGUGAAGCGCCUUCCUUUUUGGUGGGUGUGGAUGAGUGGCGAACGGGUGAGUAACACGUGAGUAACCUGCCCCCUUCUUCUGGAUAACCGCAUGAAAGUGUGGCUAAUACGGGAUAUUCUGGGUCUGUCGCAUGAUGGGUCUGGGAAAGAUAUUGUUUCGGUGGGGGAUGGGCUCGCGGCCUUUCAGCUUGUUGGUGGGGUGAUGGCCUACCAAGGCGGUGACGGGUAGCCGGCCUGAGAGGGUGGACGGUCACACUGGGCCUGAGACACGGCCCAGACUCCUACGGGAGGCAGCAGUGGGGAAUAUUGCACAAUGGGCGCAAGCCUGAUGCAGCGACGCCGCGUGAGGGAUGGAGGCCUUCGGGUUGUGAACCUCUUUCGCCAGUGAAGCAGGCCUGCCUCGUUUGUGGGUGGGUUGACGGUAGCUGGAUAAGAAGCGCCGGCUAACUACGUG
RNAcentral lists this ribosomal RNA (494 nucleotides) under uncultured bacterium. Its description in RNAcentral is "partial 16S ribosomal RNA". It matches the Rfam family "Bacterial small subunit ribosomal RNA", at positions 28 to 507 of the family's 1533-position model. The record is from RNAcentral.